This 152-nucleotide small RNA is filed under the name Corynebacterium pseudogenitalium ATCC 33035. It matches the Rfam family "Bacterial large subunit ribosomal RNA", at positions 13 to 163 of the family's 2925-position model. The record is from RNAcentral. Lineage: Bacteria; Bacillati; Actinomycetota; Actinomycetes; Mycobacteriales; Corynebacteriaceae.
AAGGGCGCAUGGUGGAUGCCUUGGCAUGCUGAGCCGAUGAAGGACGUGAAAGGCUGCGUUAAGCCUCGGGGAGUUGUCAAUUAAGCGUUGAUCCGAGGAUGUCCGAAUGGGGAAACCUGGCCCUGGUUAUGUGGGGUUACCCUUCAGUGAAU